This 550-nucleotide ribosomal RNA is filed under the name uncultured bacterium. Its description in RNAcentral is "bacterial SSU rRNA". It matches the Rfam family "Bacterial small subunit ribosomal RNA", at positions 355 to 896 of the family's 1533-position model. The record is from RNAcentral.
UAGGGAAUCUUCCGCAAUGGGCGAAAGCCUGACGGAGCAACGCCGCGUGAGUGAUGAAGGUCUUCGGAUCGUAAAACUCUGUUAUUAGGGAAGAACAUAUGUGUAAGUAACUGUGCACAUCUUGACGGUACCUAAUCAGAAAGCCACGGCUAACUACGUGCCAGCAGCCGCGAUAAUACGUAGGUGGCAAGCGUUAUCCGGAAUUAUUGGGCGUAAAGCGCGCGUAGGCGGUUUUUUAAGUCUGAUGUGAAAGCCCACGGCUCAACCGUGGAGGGUCAUUGGAAACUGGAAAACUUGAGUGCAGAAGAGGAAAGUGGAAUUCCAUGUGUAGCGGUGAAAUGCGCAGAGAUAUGGAGGAACGCCAGUGGCGAAGGCGACUUUCUGGUCUGUAACUGACGCUGAUGUGCGAAAGCGUGGGGAUCAAACAGGAUUAGAUACCCUGGUAGUCCACGCCGUAAACGAUGAGUGCUAAGUGUUAGGGGGUUUCCGCCCCUUAGUGCUGCAGCUAACGCAUUAAGCACUCCGCCUGGGGAGUACGACCGCAAGGUUG